ACUAACUCAAAUAAGAACAUAUAAAACACAAAUUUUAAAUAAUAAUGUGUAAAAUGUUAAAUGACAAUAAUAAGAAGUAUCUACAAAGGAAGAAAGCUUGAAAGAGGGAAAGAAGCAUUAGAUUGUUAGACCAAAAUAUGAAAUGCGAUAUUUGUUUGCUUCUCUGGUUUGGACAGAGAUGGAGUCAAGCCGCAAGACUCCAAACACGCUCUCGAGCACAUGUGAAUAAAAAGAAAAGAAAAGGAUUAGAGAGAUAAAAAUUCUUGAUAAGGGAAGGAUAAAUUCAAAACAAUAUGCUAAUGCAAGGAGAUUUAAAACUACUGGAUACAUAUACGGAAAGAUUUAACUUGGACAAAAUGUUAUACCAAGAAUAAUCGUUGUGGCCGAACAUCGGGCUAUUCUACACAUAUAAAUACUGAGAAUACCAAUCUCUUAUGCACACUGUUACAUUAGAUGGUCUAUUCGGAAACUCACAAUACAGACAAACUAAGUCCAAGAAAAAUAUUUUAUCAAAGUUGGAAACUUAAAAAGUAUACUAACUACACUUAGCACAAGAAAAGGUCAAUGUGCCUACAUAAAAAUGGGCAUUUGGUUUUGCAAGCUUUUGACUAUAUCUUAACAGAUAAAUACUUUCUUAUUAUGUUGCGUGUAUUUAAAUACCUAGUUCACUUCUUGAACAAAAAUUAAACUCCAAAGUUUCACUAAAAUGGUAUCUACUUUGCCAACAACAUUUUUGAUAAAGCUACAGUAAUCACAAAAUUAUUCCGUCACUAAUUACUAGGUCUUGAUCAUAGCGUGAAAAACAUAUUUCAAAUCUCCGCAAAUAACAAAAUAAGAUCACACGACAACAACAAAAUAUCCAAUAGAGCCCUAGAAAAAAUAAAUAAUUCAUACAAAGACGAGUAUGCAGCAAUCUUACUAAAAUAAGAACAAAGCAGGGAGGGAGAGAACCAAAUAAAUAACUUUAAUCACAACACAAGAACUUACAUAUUGGACAAGUUAAUCAACAAACUCCUCUAAAUAACAUUAAUUCUUGUCAACCAUUUUUCUGGAGUUAAAAGCUCUAACUUAUUUACCUUAGUUUGAGAGCCUAAACCAGUGUCAUUAUUUAAGCUAAUUACCCAUGAAAACAAGAUGGUACUUGCUUAGCCAUAGAAAAAGCUGUUCAAACUAGUUAAAAACUACCUUCACAUUGACUAUUCAAUCAAAUUAGAUUCAUAGUUUUUUUCUUAAAAAAAAACUUCAAAAAAUGGAGAGCUGCCAAAAAGUUUCAGAACAUAUAUUCAUGACAUGAAAAAGGAUCAACCUAUCAAUACAACAAAAGGCAUAGAAAUCGAACAGGACCGAAAGAGGGUAUGAAUAACCACAAAAUGAUCAUCCUAUCAUUACUUAUUCAAGAUAUAAAGAUCAAAAGAAACAUUCAUAACAUGGCAUAUGAUCAAUAGAGAAAAAUUCUGCAGCGAAGGUGUAUAGUAAACUGAUGUGUCCUAAUCCUUUAAAAAUUCCUUUCCAUAACAAAAAGAGGUUGUCGGGAUCAUGCUAACAUACAAACUAAGCAUAUACAUAGCUAAUUAAUUAUUAUUAUCUUAAAGCAUCUAAACCAAGAUCAAAAUAACCUUUAAUAGUCCAUUUGAACAUAUACCAAAAUAUUUAACACUUCAUGGAAUCUGUUUCGAGAUUAUUAAAGGGUUUGAAUAAUCUACUAACCUACUGUCAAGUAUGUACAACACACAACUACGCAAGAUCUAGCCCUUCAAGUUCACAUUCGUGGCCAACAAAACAAGGCGUCUAAUUCCAUAAAAAAAGCAAACCUCAUAGGUUUUUAUUUAAGACAGAUCUCACAAACACAUAAUCUGAUGCUAUAUAUAAAUAAAUGACCAGAAAAACUAUCUUUACUUUAUGUAUUCACACCCAAAAUCAAAUAGACUAAAGCGGCAAUAUCCAUACUCAACACACAGUUAAGAAUUUACAAACUACGUACAAUGUAGUCAAGAUGGGAUCGAGUUUACCUUAUGUGUGGCAGCGAUCUAAGGCUUUCUCGUCGGAGACUAAAACUCGAACUCAAACUCAGACUUGCGCCCGAACUUGGAAAGAGGGCGAGAGUAAUAGUAUACUGAUGUUUUAAUGCCAAUUUUGAUAGCUUUUUUUGGUGAUCCUUGAUGACAAAAUGGGAGCUCAAAGGUUCAUUUUAUAGCCGAAUUAGAGGGGCAUUGUAACAGCUCUCAAUGGAGGCUCCAAGAAUUCAAAUUUUGAAUUCUUGGAAAACCCUAAUCUCAG
This 2277-nucleotide long non-coding RNA is filed under the name Capsicum annuum. RNAcentral's name for it is "long non-coding RNA (CANN_LNC016366)". The record is from RNAcentral. Lineage: Eukaryota; Viridiplantae; Streptophyta; Magnoliopsida; Solanales; Solanaceae.